UUGGUUUAUCUUAAGUCAAACUUAUCCAACUUUGACCAAAAUUAUAGAAAAAUAUAACAAUAUCUAUACUACCAAAUAUAUGCACUGUCAAAAUAUAUUCCAUGGUGGAUCCAAUGAAACAAAUUUGGUAUUGUAGAUGAUGUUAUAUUUUUCUACAAACUUGGUCAAAGUUGAACAAGUUUGACUUAAGACAAACCAAU
This 200-nucleotide microRNA precursor is filed under the name Dichanthelium oligosanthes. Its description in RNAcentral is "MIR1435 microRNA precursor family". It matches the Rfam family "MIR1435 microRNA precursor family". The record is from Rfam by way of RNAcentral. Lineage: Eukaryota; Viridiplantae; Streptophyta; Magnoliopsida; Poales; Poaceae.